AACGAACGCUGGCGGCAGGCUUAACACAUGCAAGUCGAACGCCCCGCAAGGGGAGUGGCAGACGGGUGAGUAACGCGUGGGAAUGUGCCCCAAGGUACGGAACAACACCGGGAAACUGGUGCUAAUACCGUAUGUGACCGAGAGGUGAAAGAUUUAUCGCCUUGGGAUCAGCCCGCGUUAGAUUAGCUAGUUGGUGAGGUAAUGGCUCACCAAGGCUACGAUCUAUAGCUGGUCUGAGAGGAUGAUCAGCCACACUGGGACUGAGACACGGCCCAGACUCCUACGGGAGGCAGCAGUGGGGAAUCUUGGACAAUGGGCGCAAGCCUGAUCCAGCCAUGCCGCGUGAAUGAUGAAGGCCUUAGGGUUGUAAAGUUCUUUCGUCGGGGACGAUAAUGACGGUACCCGAAGAAGAAGCCCCGGCUAACUUCGUGCCAGCAGCCGCCGCAG
RNAcentral lists this ribosomal RNA (447 nucleotides) under uncultured bacterium. RNAcentral describes it as "partial 16S ribosomal RNA". It matches the Rfam family "Bacterial small subunit ribosomal RNA", at positions 29 to 523 of the family's 1533-position model. The record is from RNAcentral.